GCCUAACACAUGCAAGUCGGACGAGUCCACACCUUCGGGUGUGAGGCGAGUGGCGGACGGGUGAGUAACACGUGAGCAAUCUAUCCUGUUGCGGGGGACAACGAGGGGAAACCUUCGCUAAUACCGCAUGGUCAAGAGACCUUAUGGGUCUUUUGGGAAACGUGGCCUCUUUACAAUGCUACGGCGACGGGAGGAGCUCGCGGGCUAUCAGCUUGUUGGUGAGGUAACGGCUCACCAAGGCGACGACGGCUACGGGGUCUGAGAGGACGACCCCGCACAUUGGAACUGAGACACGGUCCAGACUCCUACGGGAGGCAGCAGUGGGGAAUAUUGGGCAAUGGCCGAAAGGCUGACCCAGCGACGCCGCGUGUGGGAGGAAGCCCUUCGGGGUGUAAACCACUGUCAGGAGGGACGAAAGCGUUCACGGUGAAUAAUCGUGAGCAGUGACGGUACCUUCAAAGGAAGCACCGGCUAACUCUGUGCCAGCAGCCGCGGUAAU
Molecule: ribosomal RNA, 499 nt
Filed under: uncultured bacterium
Lineage: Bacteria
Description: bacterial SSU rRNA
Rfam family: Bacterial small subunit ribosomal RNA
Source: RNAcentral